This 405-nucleotide small RNA is filed under the name Pan troglodytes (chimpanzee). Its description in RNAcentral is "processed transcript". Lineage: Eukaryota; Metazoa; Chordata; Mammalia; Primates; Hominidae. The record is from RNAcentral.
UUUAUCUCUUGCUCCUUAACUGCUGUGUGCCUCGGUUUCUUCUACGGCUGUGAGGAUUAAACAGAAAACGCAGCAACCAUCCUCAAUGCGGCCAGGAUACCUGUUCCCCCAGCCUGUGGGAAGCCCCAGCAGCUGAACCGGGUUGUGGGCGGCGAGGACAGCACUGACAGCGAGUGGCCCUGGAUCGUGAGCAUCCAGAAGAAUGGGACCCACCACUGCGCAGCAACCUGAACAAACCAUCCCUGUUCUCUGUGCUGCUGGGGGCCUGGCAGCUGGGGAACCCUGGCUCUCGGUCCCAGAAGGUGGGUGUUGCCUGGGUGCAGCCCCACCCUGUGUAUUCCUGGAAGGAGGGUGCCCGUGCGGACAUUGCCCUGGUGCGUCUCGAGCGCUCCAUACAGUUCUCAG